RNAcentral lists this unclassified non-coding RNA (217 nucleotides) under Hevea brasiliensis (rubber tree). The record is from RNAcentral. Lineage: Eukaryota; Viridiplantae; Streptophyta; Magnoliopsida; Malpighiales; Euphorbiaceae.
UGAGGAGUACCAAGUCUGUGCUGUCACCGUAGGUGUUGUGGGUGAUUUAUGCAGAGCUUUGGAGGAUAAGAUCUUACCUUAUUGUGAUGGUAUAAUGACACAGCUUCUCAAGGAUCUAUCAAGUAAUCAGCUACAUCGUUCUGUAAAGCCACCAAUAUUUUCAUGCUUUGGUGACAUAGCCUUGGCGAUAGGAGAGAAUUUCGAGAAGUACUUGAUG